UACGUAGGGUGCAAGCGUUAAUCGGAAUUACUGGGCGUAAAGCGUGCGCAGGCGGUUUUUGUAAGUCUGAUGUGAAAUCCCCGGGCUCAACCUGAGAAUUGCAUUGGAGACUGCAAGGCUAGAAUCUGGCAGAGGGGGGUAGAAUUCCACGUGUAGCAGUGAAAUGCGUAGAGAUGUGGAGGAACACCAAUGGCGAAGGCAGCUCGCUGGGACGUUACUGACGCUGAGACGCGAAAGCGUGGGGAGCAAACAGGG
RNAcentral lists this ribosomal RNA (255 nucleotides) under uncultured bacterium. RNAcentral's name for it is "partial 16S ribosomal RNA". It matches the Rfam family "Bacterial small subunit ribosomal RNA", at positions 524 to 777 of the family's 1533-position model. The record is from RNAcentral.